UACAGAGGUCCCAAGCGUUGUUCGGAUUCACUGGGCGUAAAGGGUGCGUAGGUGGCCGGGUAAGUCUGAGGUGAAAUCUCCAAGCUCAACUUGGAAACGGCCUUGGAUACUAUCCGGCUCGAGGAUCGGAGGGGAGACUGGAAUUCUCGGUGUAGCAGUGAAAUGCGUAGAUAUCGAGAGGAACACCAGUGGCGAAGGCGAGUCUCUGGACGAUUCCUGACACUGAGGCACGAAAGCCAGGGGAGCAAAC
RNAcentral lists this ribosomal RNA (250 nucleotides) under uncultured bacterium. Its description in RNAcentral is "partial 16S ribosomal RNA". It matches the Rfam family "Bacterial small subunit ribosomal RNA", at positions 524 to 773 of the family's 1533-position model. The record is from RNAcentral.